Molecule: ribosomal RNA, 530 nt
Filed under: Pseudanthobothrium purtoni
Lineage: Eukaryota; Metazoa; Platyhelminthes; Cestoda; Rhinebothriidea; Echeneibothriidae
Description: partial large subunit ribosomal RNA
Source: RNAcentral
AAGCCCAGAGGAUUCAACCGGCUAGAGUGUAGUGAAUGCGCCUGCGCAUCGAACGGCCAGAGUAAGAUUGGGUAGUCUACUGGAAGACAGUAGGCCCUGCCGCAAGGUGGGGAUGUGUGCACCGGGCGGAGGCCGGAACACGCUAUCCGUCUAUGGGCUGCCUAGCCGGUGCACUUUCUCUGUGGUGAACACCACGACCGGUGGAACUGCCAGUCUGUCAUAGUCAAGUCGUAGUGGGCGGGCUUUCGGGUCUGCCUGCUGUGAUCACGGGCGUACUUGGUAAACGGCGUUAGUGCAUCUUUACGGUGUGCCGACGUGUUAUCGGCUACUAGUCGCUUUAUCGGGCCUGCUUAAUGCACGUUAUAGCCGUGUGUUUUGUGGUCUGGUGGACUUUGAUGGUAAUAAUAACUGUGCAGRGCACCGGAGUUUUCGGCCUCAAAUGCAGUCUGCAUGCGUGCUAUGAAUGUGUUUGUGGGUGUCGUCGCGAGCUGGCUGUUGUUGGAUUUGAUUGUCGUGUUGCCUGCGAAAAG